GGGUUGUGAGGUUAAGCGACUAAGCGUACACGGUGGAUGCCCUGGCAGUCAGAGGCGAUGAAGGACGUGCUAAUCUGCGAUAAGCGCCGGUAAGGUGAUAUGAACCGUUAUAACCGGCGAUUUCCGAAUGGGGAAACCCAGUGUGACUCGUCACACUAUCAUUAACUGAAUCCAUAGGUUAAUGAGGCGAACCGGGGGAACUGAAACAUCUAAGUACCCCGAGGAAAAGAAAUCAACCGAGAUUCCCCCAGUAGCGGCGAGCGAACGGGGAGGAGCCCAGAGCCUGAAUCAGCAUGUGUGUUAGUGGAAGCGUCUGGAAAGGCGCGCGAUACAGGGUGACAGCCCCGUACACAAAAGCGCAUGUGCUGUGAGCUCGAUGAGUAGGGCGGGACACGUGGUAUCCUGUCUGAAUAUGGGGGGACCAUCCUCCAAGGCUAAAUACUCCUGACUGACCGAUAGUGAACCAGUACCGUGAGGGAAAGGCGAAAAGAACCCCGGCGAGGGGAGUGAAAAAGAACCUGAAACCGUGUACGUACAAGCAGUGGGAGCACCCUUUUGGGUGUGACUGCGUACCUUUUGUAUAAUGGGUCAGCGACUUAUAUUCUGUAGCAAGGUUAACCGCAUAGGGGAGCCGGAGGGAAACCGAGUCUUAAUUGGGCGUUAAGUUGCAGGGUAUAGACCCGAAACCCGGUGAUCUAGCCAUGGGCAGGUUGAAGGUUGGGUAACACUAACUGGAGGACCGAACCGACUAAUGUUGAAAAAUUAGCGGAUGACCUGUGGCUGGGGGUGAAAGGCCAAUCAAACCGGGAGAUAGCUGGUUCUCCCCGAAAGCUAUUUAGGUAGCGCCUCGUGAAUUCAUCUCCGGGGGUAGAGCACUGUUUCGGCUAGGGGGCCAUCCCGGCUUACCAACCCGAUGCAAACUGCGAAUACCGGAGAAUGUUAUCACGGGAGACACACGGCGGGUGCUAACGUCCGUCGUGAAGAGGGAAACAACCCAGACCGCCAGCUAAGGUCCCAAAGUCAUGGUUAAGUGGGAAACGAUGUGGGAAGGCCCAGACAGCCAGGAUGUUGGCUUAGAAGCAGCCAUCAUUUAAAGAAAGCGUAAUAGCUCACUGGUCGAGUCGGCCUGCGCGGAAGAUGUAACGGGGCUAAACCAUGCACCGAAGCUGCGGCAGCGACGCUUAUGCGUUGUUGGGUAGGGGAGCGUUCUGUAAGCCUGCGAAGGUGGCCUGUGAGGGUUGCUGGAGGUAUCAGAAGUGCGAAUGCUGACAUAAGUAACGAUAAAGCGGGUGAAAAGCCCGCUCGCCGGAAGACCAAGGGUUCCUGUCCAACGUUAAUCGGGGCAGG
RNAcentral lists this ribosomal RNA (1347 nucleotides) under Salmonella enterica. RNAcentral describes it as "bacterial LSU rRNA". It matches the Rfam family "Bacterial large subunit ribosomal RNA", at positions 1 to 1378 of the family's 2925-position model. The record is from RNAcentral. Lineage: Bacteria; Pseudomonadati; Pseudomonadota; Gammaproteobacteria; Enterobacterales; Enterobacteriaceae. RNAcentral also lists the same sequence under 2 other names.